Molecule: long non-coding RNA, 207 nt
Organism: Dipodomys spectabilis (banner-tailed kangaroo rat)
Lineage: Eukaryota; Metazoa; Chordata; Mammalia; Rodentia; Heteromyidae
Exons: 3
Source: RefSeq, a predicted model, not a curated record
GCGAUCCUCAGAUCUCAGCCUCCUCAGUAGCUAGGAUUACAGGCGUGAGCCACCAGCACCCGGCGACGAGUAAUUCCUUCUUAUAUGAAUGUGUGUACACCUAUAUGUGAAGAAUACCCAUCACUCUAAAACGCCACCAGUUCUUUUGGGAAAGAGAUUUGUACAUUUCCAGUGGGCUUCAACUCAGCCUGGGCACUGUCGCUCAGC